UGGGGAAUAUUGCACAAUGGGCGCAAGCCUGAUGCAGCCAUGCCGCGUGUGUGAAGAAGGCCUUAGGGUUGUAAAGCACUUUCAGCGAGGAGGAAGGCAUCAUACUUAAUACGUGUGGUGAUUGACGUUACUCGCAGAAGAAGCACCGGCUAACUCCGUGCCAGCAGCCGCGGUAAUACGGAGGGUGCAAGCGUUAAUCGGAAUUACUGGGCGUAAAGCGCACGCAGGCGGUUUUGUAAGUCAGAUGUGAAAUCCCCGCGCUUAACGUGGGAACUGCAUUUGAAACUGGCAAGCUAGAGUCUUGUAGAGGGGGGUAGAAUUCCAGGUGUAGCGGUGAAAUGCGUAGAGAUCUGGAGGAAUACCGGUGGCGAAGGCGGCCCCCUGGACAAAGACUGACGCUCAGGUGCGAAAGCGUGGGGAGCAAACA
RNAcentral lists this ribosomal RNA (427 nucleotides) under uncultured prokaryote. Its description in RNAcentral is "bacterial SSU rRNA". It matches the Rfam family "Bacterial small subunit ribosomal RNA", at positions 355 to 774 of the family's 1533-position model. The record is from RNAcentral.